This 161-nucleotide unclassified non-coding RNA is filed under the name uncultured Chaetothyriales. RNAcentral's name for it is "sequence contains ITS2". The record is from RNAcentral. Lineage: Eukaryota; Fungi; Ascomycota; Eurotiomycetes; Chaetothyriales.
UCAACCCUCAAGCCUGGCUUGCAGUUGAGCCGUCAGCCCGUCACACCGGCUGGCUCGAAAGACAAUGGCAGAGUCGGGUCGGACCCUGGAUGCACCGAGCUUUCACGAGCACGCAUUGAAGUGGCCGGACGACGCUUGGCCGACAACCCCCUAUUUUUCAA